RNAcentral lists this unclassified non-coding RNA (345 nucleotides) under soil metagenome. RNAcentral describes it as "partial contains 5.8S ribosomal RNA, internal transcribed spacer 2, and large subunit ribosomal RNA". The stretch from base 1 to 120 matches the Rfam family "5.8S ribosomal RNA", at positions 35 to 154 of the family's 154-position model. The record is from RNAcentral.
GAUGAAGAACGUAACGAAAUGCGAUACGUAAUGUGAAUUGCAGAAUUCAGUGAAUCAUCGAGUCUUUGAACGCACAUUGCGCCCCCUGGUAUUCCGGGGGGCAUGCCUGUCCGAGCGUCAUUGCUGCCCUCAAGCACGGCUUGUGUGUUGGGCCUCCGUCCUCCUCCCGGGGGACGGGCCCGAAAGGCAGCGGCGGCACCGCGUCCGGUCCUCGAGCGUAUGGGGCUUCGUCACCCGCUCUUGUAGGCCCGGCCGGCGCUUGCCGACACAUCAAUCUUUUUUCCAGGUUGACCUCGGAUCAGGUAGGGAUACCCGCUGAACUUAAGCAUAUCAAUAAGCGGAGGA